Hydractinia symbiolongicarpus is the source of this 468-nucleotide long non-coding RNA. RefSeq lists it as uncharacterized. The transcript has 2 exons. The record is from RefSeq and is a predicted model, not a curated record. NCBI's taxonomy places the organism in Eukaryota, Metazoa, Cnidaria, Hydrozoa, Anthoathecata, Hydractiniidae.
AUAUUUUUAUAAGGAUAUAACACUUCGAUUUUUGAUAGCAGAAGUAAUUGAUUUAUUUGCUCACCUGUUCUUUUGAUAUUUUCUUUAACAAAAUUAGCCGAAGUUUAUAUACCUUUCCUUGACUUUUAGUAUAUUAAUUAUUCGUAGAGAGGAAUCGAAGCAGCGAUUCUAAAAUCUUAUUCAAAAUGAGAGUUCUAAUUUUUGCUUUGGUGGCAUUUUUUGCAGUUUUGUUUGUAGUGAACGCAAAUGAUACAGCCACAGCGGAAUGCUCCAACGAAGAGGAGGAGUGCCGUAUAAAAGGAGGUUCUGUGGCGGAGUGCAAGAUUGGAUUUGAUAUCUGCAAAGAAGGUGCCAAUGAGGAAGAGGUUGGAGACAGAAGACGCCGAUAAAUUUAUUUUUUGUUGGUUUCUUACAAUUUAAUUAUGUAUAUAUUUAGUUUUUAAAACAAGUACAAUUUUGGAGUAGCAA